This 702-nucleotide long non-coding RNA is filed under the name Calidris pugnax (ruff). RNAcentral describes it as "lncRNA (ENSCPUG00000007628.1)". The record is from RNAcentral. Lineage: Eukaryota; Metazoa; Chordata; Aves; Charadriiformes; Scolopacidae.
CCAAACAGAUCUCUGCUGGCAUCUAGAAGGUUCGUGUGGAGAAGCAAGGAGCUGGAAUCACAGUAUGGGAAAAAUUAUCCUUUCCUUCUUUGUCCCAGGGGACAGUCUGGCCCGUGGUGUGUUUCCAUUUGGCCAGCUGCCUUUACAGCAUAGAAGAUGAAGAAGUGCAGAUUGAUGGAAGAGCUGAACUUCUUUUGGGAUGCAGCAGUCCAUGAGCCCUGGCAUUUUGUAUACUCAGAGCAAGGUCAAGCUCAGCAGUUUCCACCUUGGUGUUGUUACAUCACUGCAGCAGGGAUAAAAAAAAUGGAUAUCAUGUGGUUACCACAGCAGCUCUCUGGUUUUGCAGUGCUGCCACCCUUUCAUCACAUUUCACCUCUGCCACCUUCUUGUAACCAUCUCUUGGUCUCAAGAAGGUGCUGCACAUCAUCAUCUCUCCACACCAGACCACUUGACUGCAGGUUCCUACUGAGGAGGAAAACUGGAAGUUCAACAAGAACAAGUGAAAGAAGUACUGAAAAAAACAUCCUUGGCAGCCUGGAUGAAAGCUGGACUCCCUGAUCUUCCUGGUGGCAUUCCUGCAAAGGCAAGCAGGCGUUGUGGAUGUAAACCCAGCAAGGACAGAGCAGGUAAGAAUUGAGAGCAUCUUAAAAUAUGAGGUAUCUGAUUUUAAUUUCCUGGGUGCAGCGGGCUCGAGGACACUUU